CAGUAGCCACGGGAAUACGGAGGGAGCUAGCGUUGUUCGGAAUUACUGGGCGUAAAGCGCACGUAGGCGGCUUUGUAAGUAAGAGGUGAAAGCCUGGUGCUCAACACCAGAACUGCCUUUUAGACUGCAUCGCUUGAAUCCAAGAGAGGUGAGUGGAAUUCCGAGUGUAGAGGUGAAAUUCGUAGAUAUUCGGAAGAACACCAGUGGCGAAGGCGGCUCACUGGCUUGGUAUUGACGCUGAGGUGCGAAAGCGUGGGGAGCAAACAGGAUUAGAUACCCGCGUAGUCCCUGUCUCUUAUAC
This 301-nucleotide ribosomal RNA is filed under the name uncultured bacterium. RNAcentral's name for it is "partial 16S ribosomal RNA". It matches the Rfam family "Bacterial small subunit ribosomal RNA", at positions 509 to 807 of the family's 1533-position model. The record is from RNAcentral.